This 253-nucleotide ribosomal RNA is filed under the name uncultured bacterium. RNAcentral's name for it is "partial 16S ribosomal RNA". It matches the Rfam family "Bacterial small subunit ribosomal RNA", at positions 524 to 776 of the family's 1533-position model. The record is from RNAcentral.
UACGUAGGGUGCGAGCGUUGUCCGGAAUUAUUGGGCGUAAAGAGCUUGUAGGCGGUCUGUCGCGUCUGCUGUGAAAAUCCGGGGCUCAACCCCGGACUUGCAGUGGGUACGGGCAGACUAGAGUGUGGUAGGGGAGACUGGAAUUCCUGGUGUAGCGGUGAAAUGCGCAGAUAUCAGGAGGAACACCGAUGGCGAAGGCAGGUCUCUGGGCCACUACUGACGCUGAGAAGCGAAAGCAUGGGGAGCUAACAGG